This 253-nucleotide ribosomal RNA is filed under the name uncultured bacterium. Its description in RNAcentral is "partial 16S ribosomal RNA". It matches the Rfam family "Bacterial small subunit ribosomal RNA", at positions 524 to 776 of the family's 1533-position model. The record is from RNAcentral.
UACGAAGGGGGCGAGCGUUGUUCGGAAUUACUGGGCGUAAAGGGCGCGUAGGCGGUGCACCAAGUCAGGCGUGAAAGCCCCGGGCUCAACCUGGGAACUGCAAUGGAAACUGGCGGGCUUGAGUGUGGCAGAGGGGGGUGGAAUUCCGCGUGUAGCAGUGAAAUGCGUAGAGAUGCGGAGGAACACCGAUGGCGAAGGCAGCCCCCUGGGCCAACACUGACGCUCAGGCACGAAAGCGUGGGGAGCAAACAGG